RNAcentral lists this ribosomal RNA (253 nucleotides) under uncultured bacterium. Its description in RNAcentral is "partial 16S ribosomal RNA". It matches the Rfam family "Bacterial small subunit ribosomal RNA", at positions 524 to 776 of the family's 1533-position model. The record is from RNAcentral.
UACAGAGGGGGCAAGCGUUAUUCGGAAUUAUUGGGCGUAAAGGGCGCGUAGGCGGCCUGGCAAGUGGAUGGUGAAAUCCCUCGGCUUAACCGAGGAACUGCCAUCCAGACUGCUUGGCUUGAGACCGGGAGAGGUGAGUGGAAUUCCCAGUGUAGCGGUGAAAUGCGUAGAUAUUGGGAGGAACACCAGUGGCGAAGGCGGCUCACUGGACCGGUACUGACGCUGAUGUGCGAAAGCGUGGGGAGCGAACAGG